This 84-nucleotide transfer RNA is filed under the name Lachnospiraceae bacterium. RNAcentral's name for it is "tRNA-Leu". It matches the Rfam family "tRNA". From Rfam's summary of the family: Transfer RNA (tRNA) molecules are approximately 80 nucleotides in length. Their secondary structure includes four short double-helical elements and three loops (D, anti-codon, and T loops). The record is from RNAcentral. Lineage: Bacteria; Bacillati; Bacillota; Clostridia; Lachnospirales; Lachnospiraceae.
GCGGGUGUGGCGGAAUUGGCAGACGCGCUAGAUUUAGGUUCUAGUGGCAAAACCGUGCAGGUUCAAGUCCUGUCACCCGCACCA